UACGUAGGUGGCAAGCGUUGUCCGGAAUUAUUGGGCGUAAAGCGCGCGCAGGCGGUUCUUUAAGUUGGGUGUCAAAGGCAGCGGCUCAACCGCUGUACGCACCCAAAACUGGAGAACUUGAGUGCAGGAGAGGAUAGUGGAAUUCCCGGUGUAGCGGUGGAAUGCGUAGAGAUCGGGAGGAACACCAGUGGCGAAGGCGACUGUCUGGCCUGUAACUGACGCUGAGGCGCGAAAGCGUGGGGAGCAAACA
RNAcentral lists this ribosomal RNA (250 nucleotides) under uncultured bacterium. RNAcentral's name for it is "partial 16S ribosomal RNA". It matches the Rfam family "Bacterial small subunit ribosomal RNA", at positions 524 to 774 of the family's 1533-position model. The record is from RNAcentral.